UUGUUGGUAAGGUAAAAGCUUACCAAGGCUUCGAUCAGUAGCUGGUCUGAGAGGACGACCAGCCACACUGGGACUGAGACACGGCCCAGACUCCUACGGGAGGCAGCAGUGGGGAAUUUUGGACAAUGGGGGCAACCCUGAUCCAGCCAUGCCGCGUGAGUGAAGAAGGCCUUCGGGUUGUAAAGCUCUUUCAGCCGGAACGAAACGGUUACGGUUAACACCCGUGACUACUGACGGUACCGGAAGAAGAAGCACCGGCUAACUACGUGCCAGCAGCCGCGGUAAUACGUAGGGUGCGAGCGUUAAUCGGAAUUACUGGGCGUAAAGCGUGCGCAGGUGGUUUUGUAAGUCAGAUGUGAAAGCCCCGGGCUCAACCUGGGAACUGCGUUUGAAACUACAAGACUAGAGUGUGGCAGAGGGGGGUGGAAUURCGCGUGUAGCAGUGAAAUGCGUAGAGAUGUGGAGGAACACCGAUGGCGGAGGCAGCCCCCUGGGUCAACACUGACGCUCAGGCACGAAAGCAUGGGGAGCAAACAGGAUUAGAUACCCUGGUAGUCCAUGCCCUAAACGAUGUCAACUAGUUGUCGGGCCUUUACGGGCUUGGUAACGUAGCUAACGCGUGAAGUUGACCGCCUGGGGAGUACGAUCGCAAGAUUAAAACUCAAAUGAAUUGACGGGGACCCGCACAAGCGGUGGAUUAUGUGGAUUAAUUCGAUGCAACGCGAAAAACCUUACCUACCCUUGACAUGUAUCGAAGCCCGCAGAAAAGCGGGGGUGCCCGAAAGGGAACGAUAACACAGGUGCUGCAUGGCUGUCGUCAGCUCGUGUCGUGAGAUGUUGGGUUAAGUCCCGCAACGAGCGCAACCCUUGUCAUUAAUUGCCAUCAUUUAGUUGGGCACUUUAAUGAGACUGCCGG
Molecule: ribosomal RNA, 916 nt
Filed under: uncultured bacterium
Lineage: Bacteria
Description: bacterial SSU rRNA
Rfam family: Bacterial small subunit ribosomal RNA
Source: RNAcentral